UACGUAGGUGGCAAGCGUUGUCCGGAUUUACUGGGCGUAAAGAGCGCGCAGGCGGUCGUUCAAGUCGCGUGUGAAAGCCCCCGGCUCAACUGGGGAGGGUCACGCGAUACUGAUCGACUGGAAGGCAGGAGAGGGUAGUGGAAUUCCCGGUGUAGUGGUGAAAUGCGUAGAUAUCGAGAGGAACACCUGCGGCGAAGGCGGGUUGCUGGGCUGAUACUGACGCUGAGGCGCGAAAGCCAGGGGAGCGAACGGG
Molecule: ribosomal RNA, 253 nt
Filed under: uncultured bacterium
Lineage: Bacteria
Description: partial 16S ribosomal RNA
Rfam family: Bacterial small subunit ribosomal RNA
Source: RNAcentral